This 30-nucleotide non-coding RNA is filed under the name Homo sapiens (human). Lineage: Eukaryota; Metazoa; Chordata; Mammalia; Primates; Hominidae. The record is from RNAcentral.
UAGCAGUGCUAAUGCGAUGAGGUUACUGUU